Molecule: ribosomal RNA, 253 nt
Filed under: uncultured bacterium
Lineage: Bacteria
Description: partial 16S ribosomal RNA
Rfam family: Bacterial small subunit ribosomal RNA
Source: RNAcentral
UACGUAGGGACCGAGCGUUGUCCGGAUUCAUUGGGCGUAAAGAGCUCGUAGGCGGCCACUCAAGUCGAAUGUGAAACCUCGAGGCUCAACCUCGAGCCUGCAUUCGAUACUGGGCGGCUAGAGUCUGGUAGGGGGAUCUGGAAUUCCUGGUGUAGCGGUGGAAUGCGCAGAUAUCAGGAAGAACACCGAUGGCGAAGGCAGCUCUCUGGGACGGUACUGACGCUGAGACGCGAAAGCGUGGGGAGCGAACAGG